Molecule: ribosomal RNA, 456 nt
Filed under: Pseudomonas aeruginosa
Lineage: Bacteria; Pseudomonadati; Pseudomonadota; Gammaproteobacteria; Pseudomonadales; Pseudomonadaceae
Description: bacterial SSU rRNA
Rfam family: Bacterial small subunit ribosomal RNA
Source: RNAcentral
GCCUAACACAUGCAAGUCGAGCGGAUGAAGGGAGCUUGCUCCUGGAUUCAGCGGCGGACGGGUGAGUAAUGCCUAGGAAUCUGCCUGGUAGUGGGGGAUAACGUCCGGAAACGGGCGCUAAUACCGCAUACGUCCUGAGGGAGAAAGUGGGGGAUCUUCGGACCUCACGCUAUCAGAUGAGCCUAGGUCGGAUUAGCUAGUUGGUGGGGUAAAGGCCUACCAAGGCGACGAUCCGUAACUGGUCUGAGAGGAUGAUCAGUCACACUGGAACUGAGACACGGUCCAGACUCCUACGGGAGGCAGCAGUGGGGAAUAUUGGACAAUGGGCGAAAGCCUGAUCCAGCCAUGCCGCGUGUGUGAAGAAGGUCUUCGGAUUGUAAAGCACUUUAAGUUGGGAGGAAGGGCAGUAAGUUAAUACCUUGCUGUUUUGACGUUACCAACAGAAUAAGCACCGGC